CCUGAGGGGCGGAGCCCCGGCCGGAGGUCUGUCAUGCUGUUCCCGCGCCAGGUGGCCGCUGUAACCUCUUCGGUCCGCGACGAUCCUCUAGAGCACUGUGUGUCUCCCCGGACGCGAGCCCACUCCCCUGAAAUCUGCAAAAUGGCUGAUAAUUUGGAUGAAUUUAUUGAAGAGCAAAAAGCCAGAUUGGCUGAAGACAAAGCAGAGUUGGAAAGUGAUCCACCUUACAUGGAAAUGAAGGGAAAGUUGUCAGAGAAGCUUUCUGAAAACAGUAAGAUACUGAUCUCUAUGGCUAAGGAAAACAUACCACCAAAUAGUCAACAGACCAGGGGUUCCUUAGGAAUUGAUUAUGGAUUAAGUUUGCCACUUGGAGAAGACUAUGAACGGAAGAAACAUAAAUUAAAAGAAGAAUUGCGGCAAGAUUACAGACGUUAUCUUACUCAGGGCAUUACACAAGGGAAAAGAAAGAAAAAUUUUCUAUCUACGAGUGAAACAGAUCCAUCUACUUUGGGAGUUUCUCUUCCUAUUGGUGAGAGGUUAUCUGCUAAGGAAAGGUUGAAACUUGAACGUAACAAAGAAUACAAUCAGUUUCUCAGGGGUAAGGAAGAAUCCAGUGAAAAGUUCAGGCAGGUGGAAAAGAGUACUGAGCCCAAGAGUCAGAGAAAUAAAAAACCUAUUGGUCAAGUUAAGCCUGAUCUAACUUCACAAAUACAGACAUCUUGUGAAAAUUCAGAGGGUCCUAGAAAAGAUGUCUUAACUCCUUCAGAGGCAUAUGAAGAACUUCUGAACCAAAGACGACUAGAGGAGGACAGAUACCGACAACUAGAUGAUGAAAUCGAAUUAAGGAAUAGAAGAAUUAUUAAAAAAGCAAAUGAAGAAGUGGGCAUUUCCAACCUAAAACAUCAAAGGUUUGCAAGCAAGGCUGGCAUUCCAGAUAGAAGAUUUCACAGAUUUAAUGAGGAUCGUGUUUUUGAUAGACGGUAUCAUAGACCAGACCAAGAUCCUGAAGUAAGUGAAGAAAUGGAUGAGAGGUUUAGAUAUGAAAGUGAUUUUGAUAGAAGACUUUCGAGAGUGUAUACAAAUGACAGGAUGCACAGGAACAGACGAGGGAAUAUGCCUCCUAUGGAACAUGAUGGAGAUGUUAUAGAACAGUCAAACAUAAGAAUUUCAUCUGCUGAAAAUAAAAGUGCUCCAGACAAUGAAACAUCCAAAUCUACUAAUCAAGAUACCUGUAGUCCUUUUGCAGGGAUGCUCUUUGGAGGUGAAGAUCGAGAACUUAUUCAGAGAAGGAAAGAGAAAUACAGACUAGAACUGUUGGAACAAAUGGCUGAGCAACAGAGGAACAAGAGACGAGAAAAAGAUUUAGAACUCAGGGUUGCAGCAUCUGGAGCACAAGACCCUGAGAAAUCGUGGAAUGAAUUACUCACAUCAUUGCAGUUAAGUAAGGAGGAGCCUGAUAGACUAAAGCAGUUUAGUGUGGCACCAAGACACUUUGAAGAGAUGAUACCACCUGAAAGACCCAGAAUAGCUUUCCAGACACCUCUCCCUCCUUUAUCUGCCCCAUCUGUCCCACCCAUCCCAUCAGUUCAUCCUGUUCCUUCUCAAAAUGAAGAUUUGCGCAGUGGACUCAGCAGCGCCCUUGGUGAAAUGGUGUCUCCCAGGAUUGCACCUCUGCCUCCACCUCCCCUACUACCACCUUUGGCUACUAACUAUCGAACUCCUUAUGAUGAUGCAUACUAUUUUUAUGGGGCCAGGAGUACUUUCGAUCCCAGUCUUGCUUAUUAUGGUUCAGGAAUGAUGGGCGUACAGCCUGCAGCUUAUGUUAGUGCUCCUGUCACCCACCAACUAGCACAACCUGUUGUGAAUACGGUUGGACAGAAUGAACUGAAGAUUACAAGUGAUCAAGUGAUAAAUUCAGGAUUGAUUUUUGAAGAUAAACCGAAACCUUCCAAACAGUCACUUCAGUCUUACCAAGAGGCUUUGCAGCAGCAGAUUCGGGAAAGAGAAGAAAGAAGGAAGAAAGAACGUGAAGAAAAAGAAGAAUAUGAAGCUAAAUUAGAAGCUGAAAUGAGAACAUAUAAUCCCUGGGGAAAAGGUGGAGGUGGUGCUCCUCUCAGGGAUGCAAAAGGAAAUCUGAUAACUGAUUUGAAUAGGAUGCACAGACAAAAUAUAGAUGCCUACCAUAACCCAGAUGCAAGAACAUAUGAAGAUAAAAGGGCUGUUGUAUCUCUAGACCCAAAUUUAGCCACUUCAAAUGCUGAGAACCUAGAAGAUGCUGCAAAUAAAAGCUCAGGUCAUAUGCAAACACAGAGCUCUCCUUUUGCUCGGGGAAAUGUAUUUGGUGAGCCUCCAACUGAACUUCAGAUUAAACAGCAAGAAUUAUACAAGAAUUUUCUUCGUUUCCAGAUUGAGGAAAAGAAACAAAGAGAGGAAGCAGAGCGAGAGAGACUGAGAAUUGCAGAAGAAAAAGAAGAAAGACGGCUUGCAGAACAGAGGGCACGAAUUCAGCAGGAGUAUGAAGAGGAACAGGAAAAGAAAAGAGAGAAAGAGGAGGAGCAAAGGCUAAAAAAUGAAGAGCAUAUUCGGUUAGCUGAAGAAAGACAAAAAGAAGCAGAAAGAAAGAAGAAAGAAGAAGAAGAAAAAUAUAACCUGCAACUUCAGCACUACUGUGAAAGAGACAAUUUGAUUGGGGAAGAAACAAAGCGCAUGAGACAGCCUUCUCCUAUAGUUCCUGCUCUUCAGAACAAAAUUGCAAGCAAACUCCAAAGACCUCCUUCAGUUGACAGCAUCAUACGUUCCUUUAUUCAUGAAAGUUCCAUGUCCAGGGCACAGUCACCCCCGGUACCUGCCAGGAAAAAUCAGCUCCGUGCAGAAGAGGAGAAAAAAAAUGUAAUUAUGGAAUUAUCAGAAAUGAGAAAACAGCUUCGUAGUGAAGAGAGGCGUCUACAAGAGCGAUUGCUACACAUGGACAGUGAUGAUGAAAUUCCUAUCAGGAAAAAGGAAAGGAAUCCCAUGGAUAUAUUUGAUAUGGCUAGACAUCGGUUGCAAGCUCCUGUCAGAAGACAGUCCCCUAAGGGCUUAGACGCUGCCACUUUUCAGAAUAUUCAUGAUUUUAAUGAGCUGAAAGAUAGAGAGCAUACAGUGUUAAAGUCUGGAAUGGCUGAGAUCGCAUAGACUAGUAUGAAGAAUGGAACUUGGCAUUUAAUGGAGGAUGGACAGACAAAGAUGAGCUCAUGAAAAAUACUGAGGAGAAGCCAGAGAGACUGGAGGAGAAGCAGGAGAAUGUAGGAUCCUGAAACCUGAGGGGAAGGAGUAUCAAGGAGACAGGAUCAUGUAAGAUUCAGAAACACGAGUUGAUCUGAAAUUUAUGUACCCGGAUCCUCCAAGAGAUCAUCACACCUUAGAGAUUCAGCAGCAAGCCCUGCUAAGAGAGCAGCAGAAGAGGCUGAACAGAAUAAAAAUGCAGGAAGGUGCCAAAGUUGACUUAGAUGCCAUCCCAAGUGCUAAAGUACAAGAGCAAAGAAUGCCCAGAGAUGACACUAGUGAUUUCUUGAAAAACUCAUUAUUGGAAUCUGAUAGUGCUUUUAUUGGGGCUUACGGUGAGACAUAUCCUGCCAUUGAAGAUGACGUCCUCCCUCCACCAUCACAGUUGCCCUCUGCACGGGAGCGCAGGAGGAACAAAUGGAAAGGACUAGACAUUGCUUUCACUAACGUCUGAGGGAUAGAUGGAAUGAGUUUGAAGUCCUUUGAGUUGUGUGGCCCAAGUGUUAACUAUUGAGCAAAACCAGACCUCAGGAUUCAGUUUGCAUCAGAUUUUCUCUAUCAGAGAGGGUGCCCAUUUUAGAGUGGAGUCUAAACAGAUGAUGAGAGUUCACUGGUUGACCCUGAUGACAUCAUGAAACACAUAGGGGAUGACGGAUCAAACUCUGUAGCAACUGAGCCCUGGCUCCGCCCUGGCACUUCAGAAACACUGAAACGUUUCAUGGCAGAGCAGCUGAACCAGGAGCAGCAGCAGAUUCCUGGAAAACCAGGCACUUUCACUUGGCAGGGCCUGACGACUGCACAUGGUUAAAAUAAACCUGUAUUGGACCCAGUAGUGCCUUUUAAGGUGAAAGGAAUGGUAAAUCUGUACCUUUAAUAUGUCCUACUUUUGGCCCCUACCUGAAAGUUACUUUUUUUCCAUCAUCUGUAUAUAAAAUUAUUUUUAUCAUGAUGUAUAUUGUGUACAUAAAUAAAAGGCCAUGAUUAUUGAUUUAUACAAUAGAAUUGUAUAGAUUAUUUUUGCAUAGUUUUGUCAUAAAUUAGGGUGGUAAUGAACUGGAUUGAACUACUAUAUGUGCAUUAUAUUGAAUUCUGCUUGUCAUUAAGAUGAUAAGGUGAAUAAGUGUCUUAAACGUCCUGUAAAACCGGACUCCCCUUUGUUACAUGCACAUUUUCCAUUGUUACCUCGAUGCAAAAGAAUUCAUUUAGUAGGUACAUCUAUUGUAGCUGUGAUUAUUCCAGUUUCUGUGUGAUGCAAUCAAAUGUCCUAUUAAUUAUUAUUUCAUGUCUUUUGUAGCUGCUGAUACAGCAGAAGUGAAGGGAACUGUAAUUGCUUGUAUUUUUGUAAGCCAUACGUUAAAUGUUUGUUACAUCAUCUUUCUGCUUCUAUUUUUAUGCCAAUGAAGGCAUUUGUCUUGUUACUAAUUACAUGAUGUAACUACUUCUUGAUAUAAAUAAAUUUUUAUUUUAAUUACUAAAAUCUUUUUAACUACUAUGGAGCUUUCUAGACUAGUUUUCUAGAGGUUGAAUAGAGGUGGGGACACCCGGGAGGACAGAGAGACUGGAGUCUUCUUCUUCCACCAUGGAACCUUGGAUAAGUGAGUCCAUGUGAGUUUUCUAAUCACUCAGUAAGUGAUACUUCUAAAAAAGGAAAGAGUCAUUCAAAUAAUUGUGACAUUCUGACUCAGAUUAGAAUCUCAGAACCAUGACAGCUGAGAACAUCCCCAGGCACUGCUUCUCUCUCUAAUACUUCCUCUGAUGUAAUUAAUGGUUGGUAGACAAUAUCAGACAAAUUUGCCACAAUUAAAUUACUGAUAUUUUGA
Molecule: RNA transcript, 5084 nt
Organism: Pan troglodytes (chimpanzee)
Lineage: Eukaryota; Metazoa; Chordata; Mammalia; Primates; Hominidae
Gene: CSPP1
Gene name: centrosome and spindle pole associated protein 1
Exons: 33
Source: RefSeq, a predicted model, not a curated record